GUCUUCGAUCUGUUGCGGACAGAUGUAAUGGAUGUGGCUGUCAAACCCGCCGGCGGUCAGGAUGCGGCCUUCGCCCGCGAUCACCUCUGUGCCGGGGCCGACAAUAAUGUCCACGCCGGGCUGUGUGUCGGGGUUGCCCGCCUUGCCGAUUUUAUGAAUGCGGCCGUCUUUCAGCGCCACAUCGGCCUUGUAGAUGCCGGUCCAGUCGAGGAUCAGCGCAUUGGUGAUCACCGUGUCCACGGCACCCGCCGCACGGGUGGUCUGGGCCUGACCCAUGCCAUCGCGGAU
Molecule: small RNA, 288 nt
Filed under: Tritonibacter multivorans
Lineage: Bacteria; Pseudomonadati; Pseudomonadota; Alphaproteobacteria; Rhodobacterales; Paracoccaceae
Description: Tropicibacter sp. CECT 7557 5' ureB small RNA
Rfam family: 5' ureB small RNA
Source: Rfam by way of RNAcentral